This 431-nucleotide ribosomal RNA is filed under the name uncultured bacterium. RNAcentral's name for it is "bacterial SSU rRNA". It matches the Rfam family "Bacterial small subunit ribosomal RNA", at positions 32 to 442 of the family's 1533-position model. The record is from RNAcentral.
AAUCAACGCUGGCGGCGUGCCUCAGACAUGCAAGUCGAACGCGAAAGGUUCCUUCGGGGACCGAGUAGAGUGGCGCACGGGUGAGUAACACGUAGGUAAUUUGCCUUUGGGUGGGGAAUAACUCAGGGAAACUUGAGCUAAUACCGCAUAAUGCAGCGGCUCGACAUCGAGACAGUUGUUAAAGCGGGGGAUUCGCAAGAACCUCGCGCCUAAAGAGAAGCCUGCGGCAGAUAGCUAGUUGGUAAGGUAAUGGCUUACCAAGGCGACGAUCUGUAACCGGCCUGAGAGGGCGGUCGGUCACACUGACACUGACAUACGGGUCAGACUCCUACGGGAGGCAGCAGUCGGGAAUUUUGGGCAAUGGCGAAAGCCCGACCCAGCAACGCCGCGUGAAGGAUGAAAUUUUUCGGAAUGUAAACUUCGCAAGAACA